RNAcentral lists this ribosomal RNA (427 nucleotides) under uncultured beta proteobacterium. Its description in RNAcentral is "bacterial SSU rRNA". It matches the Rfam family "Bacterial small subunit ribosomal RNA", at positions 355 to 774 of the family's 1533-position model. Lineage: Bacteria; Pseudomonadati; Pseudomonadota; Betaproteobacteria. The record is from RNAcentral.
UGGGGAAUUUUGGACAAUGGGCGAAAGCCUGAUCCAGCCAUGCCGCGUGAGUGAAGAAGGCCUUCGGGUUGUAAAGCUCUUUUAGUCGGAAAGAAAGAGUUGCAAUGAAUAAUUGUGAUUUAUGACGGUACCGACAGAAAAAGCACCGGCUAACUACGUGCCAGCAGCCGCGGUAAUACGUAGGGUGCGAGCGUUAAUCGGAAUUACUGGGCGUAAAGGGUGCGCAGGCGGUCUUGCAAGUCGGAUGUGAAAGCCCCGGGCUUAACCUGGGAAUUGCGUUUGAAACUACAAGGCUAGAGUGCAGCAGAGGGGAGUGGAAUUCCAUGUGUAGCAGUGAAAUGCGUAGAGAUGUGGAAGAACACCGAUGGCGAAGGCAGCUCCCUGGGUUGACACUGACGCUCAUGCACGAAAGCGUGGGGAGCAAACA